RNAcentral lists this ribosomal RNA (161 nucleotides) under uncultured Gammaproteobacteria bacterium. RNAcentral's name for it is "partial 16S ribosomal RNA". It matches the Rfam family "Bacterial small subunit ribosomal RNA", at positions 355 to 507 of the family's 1533-position model. The record is from RNAcentral. Lineage: Bacteria; Pseudomonadati; Pseudomonadota; Gammaproteobacteria.
UGGGGAAUAUUGGACAAUGGGCGGAAGCCUGAUCCAGCCAUGCCGCGUGUGUGAAGAAGGCCUUAGGGUUGUAAAGCACUUUAAGCAGGAAAGAAAAGCGCCGGAUUAAUACUCCGAGCGUGUUGACGGUACCUGCAGAAUAAGCACCGGCUAACUCCGUG